This 531-nucleotide ribosomal RNA is filed under the name Escherichia coli. RNAcentral describes it as "partial 23S ribosomal RNA". It matches the Rfam family "Bacterial large subunit ribosomal RNA", at positions 1 to 562 of the family's 2925-position model. The record is from RNAcentral. Lineage: Bacteria; Pseudomonadati; Pseudomonadota; Gammaproteobacteria; Enterobacterales; Enterobacteriaceae.
GGGUUGUGAGGUUAAGCGACUAAGCGUACACGGUGGAUGCCCUGGCAGUCAGAGGCGAUGAAGGACGUGCUAAUCUGCGAUAAGCGUCGGUGAGGUGAUAUGAACCGUUAUAACCGGCGAUUUCCGAAUGGGGAAACCCAGUGUGUUUCGACACACUAUCAUUAACUGAAUCCAUAGGUUAAUGAGGCGAACCGGGGGAACUGAAACAUCUAAGUACCCCGAGGAAAAGAAAUCAACCGAGAUUCCCCCAGUAGCGGCGAGCGAACGGGGAGGAGCCCAGAGCCUGAAUCAGUGUGUGUGUUAGUGGAAGCGUCUGGAAAGGCGCGCGAUACAGGGUGACAGCCCCGUACACAAAAAUGCACAUAUUGUGAGCUCGAUGAGUAGGGCGGGACACGUGGUAUCCUGUCUGAAUAUGGGGGGACCAUCCUCCAAGGCUAAAUACUCCUGACUGACCGAUAGUGAACCAGUACCGUGAGGGAAAGGCGAAAAGAACCCCGGCGAGGGGAGUGAAAAAGAACCUGAAACCGUGUA